RNAcentral lists this ribosomal RNA (447 nucleotides) under uncultured bacterium. Its description in RNAcentral is "bacterial SSU rRNA". It matches the Rfam family "Bacterial small subunit ribosomal RNA", at positions 329 to 792 of the family's 1533-position model. The record is from RNAcentral.
UUCCAGACUCCUACGGGAGGCAGCAGUGGGGAAUAUUGCACAAUGGGGGAAACCCUGAUGCAGCGACGCCGCGUGAGUGAAGAAGUAUUUCGGUAUGUAAAGCUCUAUCAGCAGGGAAGAUAAUGACGGUACCUGACUAAGAAGCCCCGGCUAACUACGUGUCAGCAGCCGCGGUAAUACGUAGGGGGCAAGCGUUAUCCGGAUUUACUGGGUGUAAAGGGUGCGUAGGUGGCAUGGCAAGUCAGAAGUGAAAGCCCGGGGCUCAACCCCGCGGACUGCUUUUGAAACUGUCAGGCUGGAGUACAGGAGAGGUAAGCGGAAUUCCUAGUGUAGCGGUGAAAUGCGUAGAUAUUAGGAGGAACACCAGUGGCGAAGGCGGCUUACUGGACUGUAACUGACACUGAGGCACGAAAGCGUGGGGAGCAAACAGGAUUAGAUACCCCUGUA